ACUAAUGCUUACAAUUUUUCUAUAAUAUCCAAUUCAUAUACUAAAAAAAUCAAGCUGGUAUCGUUGGUACAUUUUGUACUUUUACGAGCGCAUAUGCUACCACAAGAUUACCGGGACGUUUAUAUCUGAAUACUACUGCUACUAAGUUUAUUCAUGUAAGCCAUAAGUUUUUUGAGAUUUUCACACUGGUCCAGGGCCAUUUUCUAUGUUACCCCCUGUAUUUUAAUUUAAUUUAAAGCAAUGCAUUCAAAUAUACUUAAAUAACCUCUAGAAAAAAUGUGUUAAUUUCUUAAAACAUUACAAUUUUUAAUUUACGAUUUAUCUCCGCUGGCUCCAUUGUACUGUCUAAUCAACAGUUGGCGUAACGUAACUAAAAUGUGAGCCAUCAUCAUCAUCAUGCGAAUAAUGCAAUAGAACAACAAAAUAAAAAACUAUAUCAAAACUUCAUUUAAAAGAUAGAUAUUCCAAAUCUGCAGCAUGCAAGUAUUUGAUCAACCUUCAACUUGGAAGAUUUUAUUCGUAUGACAUCAUGUGUUGUAAUGACGCUUAUCCAUAUCUAACUAUGUAAGACAUCACGUAACUUUGAUGACGUAGCACUCCGUCAUCUUUAGAAAAUUUGCUCUUCAAUAAACUAAUUUUUCCGUUUGCUAGUUUUUGCUGAUCUGUCCUUAGUCUUCUUACACAUAUAUUUCUUAACAUUUUGAACCUGGUAGUUUUAAUUCGAAUGACAUUACGUCCCUGAUCAAUUUUAAAUAAAUUAAGGUAGAUACAUGGUAUACCCGCAUAUGCCGCCAUCUUGGAUUGUAUAAUCACAGUAAAAAAUCGGUCUAGUUAUUUGACUAAAUCUGCAAAUUUG
This 856-nucleotide long non-coding RNA is filed under the name Mytilus galloprovincialis (Mediterranean mussel). Lineage: Eukaryota; Metazoa; Mollusca; Bivalvia; Mytilida; Mytilidae. The record is from RNAcentral.